AUAAUAUUUGUGAAAUACCUUCAUCUAAUAUUUUAACUUUACAAACAUAUUAAUUUACAUUUAUGAAAGAGCUAUCGCAAGUGAAGAUCAUUUUUUAUUAGCUCACCUGGCCCGAAGGGCCAAGUGAGCUUUUCCCAUCACUUUGCGUCCGUCGUCCGUCGUCCUCGUCGUUAACUUUUACAAAAAUCGUAUCCUCUGAAACUACCGGGCCAAAUUAAACCAAACUUGGCCAAAAUCAUCAGUGGGGUAUCUAGUUUAAAAAAUGUGUCCGGUGACCCGGCCAACUACUCAAGAUGGCCGCCACGUCUAAAAAUAGAACAUAGGGGUAAAAUGCAGUUUUUGGCUUAUAACUAAAAAACCAAAGCAUUUAGAGCAAAUCUGACAGAGGUAAAUUUGUUGAUCAGGUCAAGAUCUAACUGUUCUGAAAUUUUCAGAUGAAUCGGAC
This 445-nucleotide long non-coding RNA is filed under the name Mytilus galloprovincialis (Mediterranean mussel). Lineage: Eukaryota; Metazoa; Mollusca; Bivalvia; Mytilida; Mytilidae. The record is from RNAcentral.